Long non-coding RNA from Vigna angularis (adzuki bean), 3320 nucleotides. RefSeq lists it as uncharacterized. Lineage: Eukaryota; Viridiplantae; Streptophyta; Magnoliopsida; Fabales; Fabaceae. The record is from RefSeq and is a predicted model, not a curated record. The transcript has 2 exons.
UUUACAUAAAAACAUUGAAGUAAAUUGAGUUAGUGAGCAAUAUGAAUGUAAAACUCAAGAAAUCAAAUUGCAAAACUUGAACAGUUACAGAAAAUGAAUCAGAGUGAGAAAUUACCAACAAAAUCGGAUUGAUAACGAUAGAAUCUUAACAGGAGAUCAGGGAAUCCGACUGCAGCGGCGCGUCAUUGGAGUGCAGGAGCCAAUUGGGAUGGUUAGGGUUUUCUCGGAAAAAAAAAAUGAGGCCAAAAUUUGGAACUUCCACUUUCUGGCAGACCAAAAGAAGAAAAGAAAAAAUGUUCAUUCGGAUUCAGUGAAAGGAUCUGGUGAAAACAAAGCAGUGCCAGAGAAUUUCUAGAGGGAACCAAUGAACUUGAGCUUUGAAUAGACAGUGCGAGAUGAGAAGUGACGACUUGCAAUGAAUGAGAAGAUUGGUGCAAUGGAACCUAACAACACGUGGAAGUUGUCUGAUCUCCCAAAAUAACUUCAACCUAUUGGCGUGAGGUGGGUGAGCUUUGUUGCAAAAGGGUACAAACCAAUGGAGUGAGUUGAUUAUGAAGAAGUGUAUGGGAAGGAGAUCUUGAAACUAUAAUCUGGUUUCAACACAUGGAAUCAGGUACAAAGCUUUCGAAGUUUGAUAGAGGAGACUGAGUAAAUGCUAGCAAAUAUCGAAACCUAGUUGGAAGUCUUUAUUAUUUAACGAGUACAAUGCCGAAUUAGUUAUUGAAUGUUGGGAUAGUAAGUUGGUAUUUGGAGGAGUCGAGCUACACAUAAUGGAAGGCACUGAGGCGAAUAUUAAGGUAUGUUUAGGAAAUAAUGUCACUCAGCCUAUACUAUACUAGGCCGGAUAAUUACCGACUAGUUGGGUACUAAGAUAAAUGACUAGUGUGGUAAUAUAGAUGAUUGGAAAAGUACAUUAGGAGUAUUUGUCAUGAGAAAUACAACGUUUACUCAGACUUUCGAAGAAGCAAUCAAUAGUAACACUUUCCAACUUAUAUACCGAUUAAGACAUAUAGAUCUCUGCAAAUGCAAGCAGAGUAGAUCUCUUAUUUAAGCCAAUAUCAAGUAAUAAUCAUUUCUACCAUAAACUACUCUUAAGGAAAAGUACCAAGAAUUUUAAAAGCACCUUGAUUCUAUCAACACUUGAUACUUUUAGGUUUGUAUUUGAUCUUUGUCACUUGCCAACACUUCUUCUGUCAAGUUAGAGGUAUAGUUUAAGAGUGGAGAAAACUGUUUUAAUAAUUAGAAUCUAACUUUCCAAACUGAAAACCAUUUUAUUGCUUUGUAGUACAUUUGAUACAUAGACAAAUGUUUAAGCUAACAUCGGUAGAACAUUUGAUUUAGAACUUCCUUGAAGUAUCAUAUUGAUAUCUCACGAUUAUGCUCUUUAUCACUGAUUUCAGUCACUAUUCUCUUCCAAAACCAAUGUUCUUGCCACACUUUCUCCAUCUGUUCAAUUGGCAGGCUUUUGGUCUCUGGCAGAAAAUAGUACACAAAUAUAGUCAUCACCACCACCCAUCCUCCAAAGAAGAAGAAAAUCCCAUACCUGAAGUGGCAAAGCAUGGUCAGAAAAGUCUGAGAAACAGUGAAAGUGAAGAUAAGGUUCACUGCCACUGUGAUGCUUUGCCCUACUGAUCUAAUUUCCAAAGGAAAAAUUUCACUUGGCACUAACCAACCCAAUGGCCCCCAUGACAAGCCAAACCCAACAACAUAUAUGCAUAUCAUAAUCAAAACCACAAAAGCGUACCCUUUGCUUAAUCCACCAUGAUCUUUCAGAUGAAAGGCCAUUAUACCACCAACUAUAACCUGUGAUGCAAUCAUUUGAAUGCCCCCAAUCAUGAACAAGGCUCUCCGUCCUAGUCUAUCAACUAUGAACAUGGAUAUGAAUGUUGAGGCAGUACCUAUAACUCCCGUGAUCACAGCUGAAAACAGCGAUGCACUUUCUCCUAACCCCAUUGUCCUAUAAAGUAAAGGGGCAUAGCAACCAAUGACGUUUAUCCCUGUCAUUUGCUGGAAAAAUGGCAUAGCUAUUGCCAUCACAAGCUGAGGCCUGUAUCUUCGUUUCAAAAUUAUCUUAAGCGAUUGCUUCUCGUCUGUUUUUGAAGAACUUGCUUUUAUAAGACCAUCAAGUUCUUCUUGCACAUCAUCUGUGCCUCGAAUUCGCUGAAGUAGUAACUUGGCCUUUUGAUGGUCAUGGCCGCGUUGGAUUAAGCUGUUGGGAGUUUCAGGGAGGAAAAGUGCACCAAAUGUUAGGACUGAGGCUGGCACUGCUGCCAUGGCUAGGGACACACGCCAACCCCACCCACCUUUAAUCUUGUCUGUUCCAUAGUUGACUAAGGUAGCAAACACACUACCAAAGCAAACGCUUAACUGGAAGCCAUUGCUAAUCGCUCCUCUUAGUCGUGGUAGUGCCAUUUCAGAUAGAUACAAAGGAACAGCCUACAGAAAUUACAGAUAGAUACAAAAAAAAUCAUAAAUCAUAAUCAAUUUUCAUUUUGUCUUCAACAGUCUAAGUGAACUCGCUAAAGAGAAGCUAGAUCCCAAAUUUCAGGAAAGUAAAUUACGCAGCUUUAAUCUUCUAUAGAGGUCUAGUUUCCAAUUGAAUCUUAAGUUGUAAUCAAUAUUUGAAAUGCUUGUAAUAGUGUAGAAAAAUGAAGGAAAAGAUAGCUACCUGGUUUGCAAAACCAAUCCCAACUCCAAGCAAAAGUCUACCAAAUAUGAGCAUCAACACAUUAAAAGCUGCACCUCCCAGAGCUGUACCGGCCAGGAAGGCGGCGCCGCCUACCACAAUGGACGGUUUGCGGCCAAAGGCUUUGGUGACAUAAGAAGCAAAGAAGGUGGUAACAAGGCCAGCAACAUAGAGAGAGGAUGUAAAAGAGGUCAAUAGUUGGCUAUCAAAUACACAGUAGUUGCUGACUUUGGCAUCUUCUUUCUGAAGGUACACUUUGUGGAAGAACUUCUUCAGAAAUGGAUCCAUUGCGGUCACCCCACCAGCUAUUCCAAUGUCAUAGCCAAAGAGGAGACCUCCCAUGGCAGCCAUCAUACAAGACAGCAGAACAUAAGUGGUUAUCUUACCAUUGCUUUGGACAUUUUCACUUGCUAUAGCCAACCCAACAGCCAUUGAUAGCCUCUUCUUUAGUACACAGGUAAAAGCUUAGAGAGAUUGAUUCAGGUUUCAUAUAUGGUUCAUGAUAAUUUAUAAUCAAGUAGUGCUUUUUGAUUUGUGUACUCAACAUUGGUUUGAAUUUCACUAUAACUGUGAUAUCUGUCACUGUUGAAUUUUGGUUAGUUAAAUUUUGUCUUCUAGGAAGAAAAUUGUCUAA